GACGAACGCUGGCGGCGUGCCUAAUACAUGCAAGUCGAGCGGACUUUCAAGAAGCUUGCUUUUUGAAAGUUAGCGGCGGACGGGUGAGUAACACGUGGGCAACCUGCCUGCAAGACGGGGAUAACUCCGGGAAACCGGGGCUAAUACCGGAUAAUAUCUUCCUUCGCAUGAAGGAAGGUUGAAAGGCGGCGCAAGCUGCCGCUUGCAGAUGGGCCCGCGGCGCAUUAGCUAGUUGGUGAGGUAACGGCUCCCCAAGGCGACGAUGCGUAGCCGACCUGAGAGGGUGAUCGGCCACACUGGGACUGAGACACGGCCCAGACUCCUACGGGAGGCAGCAGUAGGGAAUCUUCCGCAAUGGACGAAAGUCUGACGGAGCAACGCCGCGUGAGCGAAGAAGGUCGUCGGAUCGUAAAGCUCUGUUGUCAGGGAAGAACAAGUACCGUUCGAACAGGGCGGUACCUUGACGGUACCUGACCAGAAAGCCACGGCUAACUACGUG
This 499-nucleotide ribosomal RNA is filed under the name uncultured bacterium. RNAcentral describes it as "partial 16S ribosomal RNA". It matches the Rfam family "Bacterial small subunit ribosomal RNA", at positions 28 to 507 of the family's 1533-position model. The record is from RNAcentral.